GCGAGCGUAGUUCAAUGGUAAAAUAUCUCCUUGCCAAGGAGAAGAUACGGGUCCGAUUCCCACCGCUCGCC
Molecule: transfer RNA, 71 nt
Filed under: Triticum aestivum (bread wheat)
Lineage: Eukaryota; Viridiplantae; Streptophyta; Magnoliopsida; Poales; Poaceae
Rfam family: tRNA
About the family: Transfer RNA (tRNA) molecules are approximately 80 nucleotides in length.
Source: Rfam by way of RNAcentral